This 267-nucleotide RNase P RNA is filed under the name Candidatus Pacearchaeota archaeon. RNAcentral describes it as "RNase P RNA component". It matches the Rfam family "Archaeal RNase P". From Rfam's summary of the family: Ribonuclease P (RNase P) is a ubiquitous endoribonuclease, found in archaea, bacteria and eukarya as well as chloroplasts and mitochondria. Lineage: Archaea; Nanobdellati. The record is from RNAcentral.
GGGGACUUCGCGAACAGUAAUGUUCUCGUCGUGAGGUAAGGUCCGGCCACCACAUUAAGGUUGUCUUUCGAAAGGAAGAUUCCUGCGAAGGAAAGCUCCAGAAGAGAAACGACACAGCUUUCACAGAGUUAUGAAACGUGAGUUGAACUGCGAAGUGAAAGAUUUGAUGAAACGGCUGUCUCAACCGGUGCAAGGCUUUAAGCCGCUUAGUUGAAUGUUAACACAAACCGUCUGAUUACAGGGUUUGACAGAAGCUGGCCUAUUCCC